RNAcentral lists this unclassified non-coding RNA (200 nucleotides) under soil metagenome. Its description in RNAcentral is "partial contains internal transcribed spacer 2 and large subunit ribosomal RNA". The record is from RNAcentral.
GAAUAAAGAAACGGCUUGUCUGAAAUGCCUGAGUGUACCCCGCUUUGCGGCGUAUUCGGUGUGAUACAUCUUCACCGGAGUUGAUCCUUUACGGGUCGCGUCUGUAACGAGUGUGGCUCUAUGCUUCGAACCGUCUUCUGAUCGAGACAAAACUCUGACAAUUUGACCUCAAAUCGGGUGGGACUACCCGCUGAACUUAA